Molecule: ribosomal RNA, 1071 nt
Filed under: Indochinamon bhumibol
Lineage: Eukaryota; Metazoa; Arthropoda; Malacostraca; Decapoda; Potamidae
Description: 16S ribosomal RNA
Rfam family: Archaeal large subunit ribosomal RNA (bases 655-1071)
Source: RNAcentral
CUCGAAAUAAGAAUAGCUAAUUUUAUAAAAAAGUCUUUGUAGUAAAAGGGUUUUUAAUAUGAUAUUAGAAGUGAUAUGUUAGUCGGGUUUUAUAAUAUCUAGUUUCUUGGGAAAUAAAUAUAAUUUAGAUUCUAUAAGAAUAUAAUAUAGGGUAAAAGAAUAGAAGGGAAUAGCUUUUUAUUUAAUAUAAAUACCGGGGUAAAAGUUAAUUAUUAAUCUAGGCUUAGAAAUAGCCAUGUUUAUAAAAUGUUCUAAUUAAGGUGAGUAAUUAAUAUUAUUUAUAUAAGGAGGUUUAUAUAGUACCAGGGAAUUAUUUUUAUUAAUGUAAUAUAAAAUAAAAUGAUUUUAUUAGUAGAAUAAUUGUGUUUAAAUUAAGCAAAUUGAAAUAAUUUAGUAAAAUAUAUAAUUGAUUAGGUACAAUAGAGGAACUCAGCAAUUUUUUCUUUGCCUGUUUAUCAAAAACAUGUUUGUUUGUAGUUAUAAAGAAUUUAGCCUGCCCCCUGAUAAAUAAUUAAAGGGCCGCAGUAUUCUAACUGUGCAAAGGUAGCGUAAUCAUUAGGUUUUUAAUUAGAAUCUUGUAUGAAUGGCUGGACAAAAGAAAUCCUUUCUUUGUAUUAAUUUUUGAACUUAACUUUUAAGUGAAAAGGCUUAAAUAUUCCAAGGGGACGAUAAGACCCUAUAAAACUUUACAUUGUAGUUUAAAUUUAAUUUAAUUUGUUUGAUAAAAAUUUAAUUAGAUUAUAUGUUGUGUUGGGGAGACAAAGGUAAAAUUUUAUUUUAACUGCUUUAAGAGUUUAGCAAAUAUUAUUGGGUAUAAUAGAUCCUUUUUAAAGAUUAUUAAGUUAAGUUACUUUAGGGAUAACAGCGUAAUUUCUUUUAAGAGUUCUUAUCGAAAGAGAAGAUUGCGACCUCGAUGUUGAAUUAAAAUAUCUAUAUAAUGGAGAAGUUAUAUAAGAAGGUCUGUUCGACCUUUAAAAUUUUACAUGAUUUGAGUUCAAACCGGUGUGAGCCAGGUUGGUUUCUAUCUCUUGGGUUUGAGAAGGGCUAAUCUAGUACGAAAGGAGUGAGUAG